RNAcentral lists this ribosomal RNA (433 nucleotides) under uncultured bacterium. RNAcentral's name for it is "partial 16S ribosomal RNA". It matches the Rfam family "Bacterial small subunit ribosomal RNA", at positions 29 to 507 of the family's 1533-position model. The record is from RNAcentral.
AACGAACGCUGGCGGCAUGCCUAACACAUGCAAGUCGAACGAGACCUUCGGGUCUAGUGGCGCACGGGUGCGUAACGCGUGGGAACCUGCCCUUAGGUUCGGAAUAACUCCCCGAAAGGGGUGCUAAUACCGGAUAAUGUCUUCGGACCAAAGAUUUAUCGCCUUUGGAUGGUCCCGCGUUGGAUUAGCUAUUUGGUAGGGUAAAAGCCUACCCAGGCGACGAUCCAUAGCUGGGCUGAGAGGAUGCUCAGCCACACUGGGACUGAGACGCGGCCCAGACUCCUACGGGAGGCAGCAGUGGGGAAUAUUGGACAAUGGGCGAAAGCCUGAUCCAGCAAUGCCGCGUGAGUGAUGAAGGCCUUAGGGUUGUAGAGCUCUUUUACCCGGGAUGAUAAUGACAGUACCGGGAGAAUAAGCGCCGGCUAACUCCGUG